UGGCUACGAGGACGAACGCUGGCGGCGUGCUUAACACAUGCAAGUCGAACGAGGCUUAGGGAAGAGCUUGCUCGGAACUAAGCCGAGUGGCGGACGGGUGAGUAACGCGUGAAUAAUCUGUCUCAUACAGGGGGAUAACGCAUCGAAAGAUGUGCUAAUACUGCGUAGGACCACGACGGGGCAUCCCGUUGAGGUGAAAGGAGCAAUCCAGUAUGAGAUGGGUUCGCGUCUGAUUAGAUAGUUGGUGAGGUAACGGCCCACCAAGUCAACGAUCAGUAGCCGACCUGAGAGGGUGAUCGGCCACAUUGGGACUGAGACACGGCCCAGACUCCUACGGGAGGCAGCAGUGGGGAAUAUUGGGCAAUGGGCGAAAGCCUGAACCCCCAGCAACGCCGCGUGAAGGAAGAAGGUUUUCGGAUCGUAAACUUCUGUCCUAUAUGAAGAGCAGUAGACGGUAGUAUAGGAGGAAGCCCCGGCUAACUACGUGCCAGCAGCCGC
Molecule: ribosomal RNA, 498 nt
Filed under: uncultured bacterium
Lineage: Bacteria
Description: bacterial SSU rRNA
Rfam family: Bacterial small subunit ribosomal RNA
Source: RNAcentral